GACAGAGGGUGCAAACGUUGUUCGGAAUUACUGGGCGUAAAGCGCGUGUAGGCGGCCCUGCAAGUCGGGUGUGAAAUCCCAUGGCUCAACUAUGGAAGUGCACUCGAAACUGCAGGGCUAGAGUCCUGGAGAGGAAGGUGGAAUGCUUGGUGUAGAGGUGAAAUUCGUAGAUAUCAAGCGGAACACCGGUGGCGAAGGCGGCCUUCUGGACAGUGACUGACGCUGAGACGCGAAAGCGUGGGGAGCAAACAGG
Molecule: ribosomal RNA, 253 nt
Filed under: uncultured bacterium
Lineage: Bacteria
Description: partial 16S ribosomal RNA
Rfam family: Bacterial small subunit ribosomal RNA
Source: RNAcentral